This 444-nucleotide ribosomal RNA is filed under the name uncultured bacterium. RNAcentral describes it as "bacterial SSU rRNA". It matches the Rfam family "Bacterial small subunit ribosomal RNA", at positions 331 to 792 of the family's 1533-position model. The record is from RNAcentral.
CCAGACUCCUACGGGAGGCAGCAGUGGGGAAUAUUGCACAAUGGGGGAAACCCUGAUGCAGCGACGCCGCGUGAAGGAAGAAGUAUUUCGGUAUGUAAACUUCUAUCAGCAGGGAAGAGAAUGACGGUACCUGAGUAAGAAGCCCCGGCUAACUACGUGCCAGCAGCCGCGGUAAUACGUAGGGGGCAAGCGUUAUCCGGAAUUAUUGGGUGUAAAGGGUGCGUAGACGGAGAAACAAGUUGGUUGUGAAAUCCCUCGGCUCAACCGAGGAACUGCAACCAAAACUAUUUCCCUUGAGUGUCGGAGAGGAAAGUGGAAUUCCUAGUGUAGCGGUGAAAUGCGUAGAUAUUAGGAGGAACACCAGUGGCGAAGGCGACUUUCUGGACGAUAACUGACGUUGAGGCACGAAAGUGUGGGGAGCAAACAGGAUUAGAUACCCGCGUA